Megalobrama amblycephala (Wuchang bream) is the source of this 777-nucleotide non-coding RNA. The record is from the annotation of a RefSeq genome assembly. Lineage: Eukaryota; Metazoa; Chordata; Actinopteri; Cypriniformes; Xenocyprididae.
AUUGACAGGAUGAGAUGAACGAGCUCCUCCUGAACCUUCAUUUAGAGCCUCAUUUAAAUACAGAAUGAGUUCAUUUGCAUAUUGAUCAGAUGCUUCAGUGCUCUGAGAGUGUUUAUAGUGCUGUGAGUUUAACACUUCAUCACUGACACACACAACAAUCUUCAUCAACAUGACCUUCAUCAUCAUCUUCAUCUGGACUCUCACAGCGUUUGCUCAAGAGUGUAGAGGACAGAUCACCGUCACUCAGAGUCCCUCAAUGACAGCAGCUCAACUAGGACAAACUGUGGAGAUCAACUGUAAAACCAGCACAGAUGUGGCCAGUUAUUCCGGAACAUACUUUUUCAGCUGGUACUUACAGAAACCUGGAGAAGCUCCUAAACUCUGGAUUUAUGGAACAAACAGCCUCCAGUCAGGAACUCCAUCUAGAUUCAGUGGCAGUGGAUCUAACAGUGAUUUCAUUCUGACCAUCAGUGGAGUCCAGACUGAAGAUGCUGGACAUUAUUACUGUCUGAGUUUCCACACUGGUCCAGUGAUCAUACAGUGAUAAAGAGUCGUACAAAAACCUCCGUCAGUCAGAGUCACAGUGACUGAACUGAUACUGCAGCUGCUCACACACUUUCACACACUUUCACACACACUCAACAGCAGAAGGUUUUCAAACACACAGAUCUAAACAUUCUUCUACAAACGUUUUCUCUCUCAUAAACUUUCAUCAAGUCAAGUCAGCAGACCAAACACAUCUGAAACCAGACAAAAUGGACCUGAUGGACUAAUUUC